AAAAUUACUGGCGGGGAGAUACCAUGAUCAUGAAGGUGGUUUUCCCAGGGCAAGGCUCAUCCAUUGCACUCCAGAUGCCGGAUGUGCUGACCCCUGUGAUUUCCCCAAAUGUGGUAAACUGAACUGCAAAGCUUGUGGUAGUGGGGGACUGUGUUUGUGCAUUCCCCUG
Small nuclear RNA from Saimiri boliviensis boliviensis (Bolivian squirrel monkey), 169 nucleotides. RefSeq annotates it as U1 spliceosomal RNA. The record is from RefSeq and is a predicted model, not a curated record. Lineage: Eukaryota; Metazoa; Chordata; Mammalia; Primates; Cebidae.